Molecule: ribosomal RNA, 575 nt
Filed under: Papiliotrema sp.
Lineage: Eukaryota; Fungi; Basidiomycota; Tremellomycetes; Tremellales; Rhynchogastremaceae
Description: partial large subunit ribosomal RNA
Rfam family: Eukaryotic large subunit ribosomal RNA
Source: RNAcentral
GGCGAGUGAACCGGGAAGAGCUCAAAUUUGAAAUCUGGCGUCCUCAGGGCGUCCGAGUUGUAAUCUAUAGAGGCGUUUUCCGUGCCGGACCGUGUCCAAGUUCCUUGGAACAGGAUAUCAAAGAGGGUGACAAUCCCGUACUUGACACGAUGACCGGUGCUCUGUGAUACGUCUUCUACGAGUCGAGUUGUUUGGGAAUGCAGCUCAAAAUGGGUGGUGAGUUCCAUCUAAAGCUAAAUAUUGGCGAGAGACCGAUAGCGAACAAGUACCGUGAGGGAAAGAUGAAAAGCACUUUGGAAAGAGAGUUAAACAGUACGUGAAAUUGUUGAAAGGGAAACGAUUGAAGUCAGUCGUGACUGAGAGGCUCAGCCGGUUCUGCCGGUGUAUUCCCCUCAGUCGGGUCAACAUCAGUUUUGUCCGGUGGAAAAGGGCAGCAGGAAGGUAGCACCUCCGGGUGUGUUAUAGCCUGCCGUCGCAUACAUCGGGUGAGACUGAGGAAUGCAGCUCGCCUUCAUGGCCGGGGUUCGCCCACGUUCGAGCUUAGGAUGUUGACAUAAUGGCUUUAAACGACCCGU